AUACGGAGGGGGCUAGCGUUGUUCGGAAUCACUGGGCGUAAAGCGCGCGUAGGCGGGCUGCAUAGUCGAGGGUGAAAGCCCGGGGCUCAACCCCGGAAUAGCCCUCGAAACUGGCAGUCUAGAGUCCGGGAGAGGUGAGUGGAAUUCCUAGUGUAGAGGUGAAAUUCGUAGAUAUUAGGAAGAACACCAGUGGCGAAGGCGGCUCACUGGCCCGGUACUGACGCUGAGGUGCGAAAGCGUGGGGAGCAAACAGGAUUAGAAACCCGGGUAGUCC
This 274-nucleotide ribosomal RNA is filed under the name uncultured bacterium. RNAcentral's name for it is "partial 16S ribosomal RNA". It matches the Rfam family "Bacterial small subunit ribosomal RNA", at positions 523 to 796 of the family's 1533-position model. The record is from RNAcentral.